Molecule: long non-coding RNA, 116 nt
Organism: Nanorana parkeri
Lineage: Eukaryota; Metazoa; Chordata; Amphibia; Anura; Dicroglossidae
Exons: 3
Source: RefSeq, a predicted model, not a curated record
AGGAAGGACAGUUAAGUUGAGGUGGGAUAGGCUUUCCUGAAUAAAUGAGUCUUCAAGGAUCGUGUAAAGGCAGACAGGGUAGGAGAUAGCUGGACAGGUUGGGUAGGGAGUUUCAG